This 550-nucleotide ribosomal RNA is filed under the name Escherichia coli. RNAcentral's name for it is "partial 23S ribosomal RNA". It matches the Rfam family "Bacterial large subunit ribosomal RNA", at positions 2393 to 2925 of the family's 2925-position model. The record is from RNAcentral. Lineage: Bacteria; Pseudomonadati; Pseudomonadota; Gammaproteobacteria; Enterobacterales; Enterobacteriaceae.
GCAGGUGCGAAAGCAGGUCAUAGUGAUCCGGUGGUUCUGAAUGGAAGGGCCAUCGCUCAACGGAUAAAAGGUACUCCGGGGAUAACAGGCUGAUACCGCCCAAGAGUUCAUAUCGACGGCGGUGUUUGGCACCUCGAUGUCGGCUCAUCACAUCCUGGGGCUGAAGUAGGUCCCAAGGGUAUGGCUGUUCGCCAUUUAAAGUGGUACGCGAGCUGGGUUUAGAACGUCGUGAGACAGUUCGGUCCCUAUCUGCCGUGGGCGCUGGAGAACUGAGGGGGGCUGCUCCUAGUACGAGAGGACCGGAGUGGACGCAUCACUGGUGUUCGGGUUGUCAUGCCAAUGGCACUGCCCGGUAGCUAAAUGCGGAAGAGAUAAGUGCUGAAAGCAUCUAAGCACGAAACUUGCCCCGAGAUGAGUUCUCCCUGACUCCUUGAGAGUCCUGAAGGAACGUUGAAGACGACGACGUUGAUAGGCCGGGUGUGUAAGCGCAGCGAUGCGUUGAGCUAACCGGUACUAAUGAACCGUGAGGCUUAACCUUACAACGCCGAAG